RNAcentral lists this ribosomal RNA (253 nucleotides) under uncultured bacterium. RNAcentral describes it as "partial 16S ribosomal RNA". It matches the Rfam family "Bacterial small subunit ribosomal RNA", at positions 524 to 776 of the family's 1533-position model. The record is from RNAcentral.
UACGUAGGGCGCAAGCGUUGUCCGGAAUUAUUGGGCGUAAAGAGCUCGUAGGCGGCUUGUCACGUCGGGUGUGAAAGCCCGGGGCUUAACCCCGGGUCUGCAUUCGAUACGGGCUAGCUAGAGUGUGGUAGGGGAGAUCGGAAUUCCUGGUGUAGCGGUGAAAUGCGCAGAUAUCAGGAGGAACACCGGUGGCGAAGGCGGAUCUCUGGGCCAUAACUGACGCUGAGGAGCGAAAGCGUGGGGAGCGAACAGG